RNA transcript from Musa acuminata AAA Group (dessert banana), 3256 nucleotides. It is a transcript of the gene named deSI-like protein At4g17486, with no coding region annotated. The transcript is spliced from 2 exons. The record is from RefSeq and is a predicted model, not a curated record. Lineage: Eukaryota; Viridiplantae; Streptophyta; Magnoliopsida; Zingiberales; Musaceae.
CGUAUCUCUCCCCCCACUUCGACUCUUUCGAGGCCCCUCCGGUCUCCCCCCACCCAUUCCUCGGGACCUCAACAUGGCGCCUCUCCUUGCUGAUUGUGGCGGCCAAUAACCUGAUUCGGGGGUUUCUCCGGAGGAGGAUAAGUCGGUCUCUUUGUUCUCUGUUUGUUCCUCCUCUCUCGCGGGAUUUCUCUUUUCUUGGGAGUUUUCGCUUGCAAUUUUGGUUCUUGCAAGCUCGUUUGAUUGCUAGCUGUUAAAUAUGUUGGUGGAAUUCAUGGAAAAAUUCCUUUUUCCGAAGGAUAUUGGACGAGUCCAGCUCAAUUUUGGAAUUUUCUUUCAUGUUCUUUGCCACCACUCUGAUGUAAGAAGGGUUCUCGUGACCUUACGGCAAUCUGGAUUUUCGUGUGAGGGAAUUGUGGAAGAAGCACCAUUUUUUUCAUGAAAGCAUCUUAUUUUCAAACCCCCCUUUAGGAAAUGUAGAUGCACUGGCUGUGAAAUACAAUCUGUUCGUGUGUGCUUCGAAUUUUCUGUCAAGAACUGUAUCCCAAACUUUUUCUUGGCAAUGUGCAUCUAGUUCACUUCUCAAAUGGGUUCCUUAUGCUACUUAGAUCUCCGAAUCUUACAAAUCAGGGUCAUUUCCCUGGUUUUUACUUGUUUCUAAAGUCGCGUAUUUUGUUCAAGUGCUCGAGUUUGCCAAUGCUCAGUAUUGCGGCUAAUCACUGGCCAGUCGUCACUCUUCUUUCAAUUUGAUUUAAGUCUUUUGAUUCCUCGAGUUUUCUUUGGUUAUUCCUUUUAUCUUGUUUUCAGACUCAUCCUGUUUCAUCCCGCAAAUGAGGACUUCCUCUCGUAAGCUGGCAAGAUCUGAUUGUUUUAAUGUGAUGACAUGCACUUUUCUUGCUUCUUAGCUCAAGAAAUUCGAUGACAUGUUCUUUGAAUUUUUUUCUUCCUGAAAUGCCUCAUUUCUUGAUGAAUUGCACCAACAUUUUGGCAUUAAUUCUUCAUCGUAGUUUCAGUCUGAAAAGCAUUCUUCUUUAAGUGAGGUUUUAUCAUGGUAUGAUUAUGUCUUCCUUGUUUUCUUAGGUUUCCUUUGCUCUUGGCAAUAUUAGUUGCUGCUCUUGCAUUCAAGUGAUAAUAACACAAGCCUGGAGAAAUUUGUUGAUGAUUCUUCUCAUUAGAUCUCUGUCAGAAUACUUUAAAUCGCAUAAAAUUUUCCCUCUCUUUAUUCUUCAUCUGAAGAAAUAUGAGGUCAGGUUCGAAGAAGGGUUGAAAUUCCCUCAUGCUUCUUUGGCUAGACAGGAGAUCUUGCAGCCAUUUUUGUAUGUUUCCAAAGGUUUGGUCUGCCAGCCAUACACCAGGAAAUGCACUAGUUUAUCUGAAUGUAUAUGACUUGCCACCAAUGAAUGGUUUUAUGUACUGGGCAGGCCUUGGGAUAUUUCACACCGGUGUUGAAGGUAUUCUUUGCUGUUGCCUUUUUGGUUUAGAUAAAGGAUGCAUUAAAUAGAUACAUCAAUGGUAAGACAUCAUUUUAAUGUGCUUCUCUAUGCUGAAUUUGUUGUUUGAAACAUGAAUGGUGAAAAUUCUUGCAACCAAAUAUGUCAUCUAUCCACCUGCAUAGAUUUUUGUUUAACUAGUUCCUGGAUUUCUUUUUUGGACAUGAAAAUUUAUUAAGAAAAAUUCAUACUUAAUCCAAAUCCUAAUAGUUGUCAGGCAAGUUGAUGCUUCGGUACUUCUGUACAUUCCUUACAUGCUGGUUGGAUUGCUGCCUCCAAGUCAAUAUUUUCAUGGGGUGGAAUAUGUAUUUGGAGCACAUGACUAUCCGAGUAGCGGAGUCUUUGAGGUUGAGCCUCGUCAGUGUCCAGGCUUCAUGUUUAAGAAAUCAAUAUUCAUGGGUACGACAUGCUUGGACUCAUUGCAGGUUAGAGAGUUUAUGGAACUUCAGUCCGUUAAUUACAGUGGAGACACCUACCACUUGAUCAUGAAGAACUGCAACCAUUUCUGCAAAGAAAUCUGUCAUAAGAUGACCGGUAACUCCGAUUCCAAAAUGGGUGAACCAACUUGUAUGCUUCUUUUUGUUUAAAGCAUGAACAACUGUAGUUUCUGGAAGAUUUGUAUUCUGGUGAUCAUGAAGUAGUUCUGCAGUUUUCCUGCAUCUGAUGUUCCUGUUGCACAACUCAAAAUAUUGAUAACCACUUCAUGACUAUAUUUUUUUACAUCAAUGAUAUUAUCAUAAAAAAAAGUAUUAGAAGCCACUUCAAAUAUAGAGAGGAAAAUGUUGAUCCGAUCAUUAUUGUUUCAGUUUCUUGCCAAUGUAUUUAUAGCAAGGUCUGAAAUAUCGGUGCUUGUUCUGUAACCUAGAGUUCAGAUUUAUGGUUGGCUUGACCUUCAUAUAUUUUUGGAUGCACGUGGGAGAUUUUAAAAUUACCAAGUUUUGUAAGAAUAGAAUAACUGGAUUCUAUUGGGUGCUGGGACACUAGGCAAUUAUCUCUAGAUACAUCUUUAGAGAAAUUUAUUCUCUUGAAUGUUAAUCUCUGGUGAUGAAGAAGAUGGACAUGUGUUAAGAUUUGUUUGGUCUUACUUAGCAUUUGUUCUAUUAGUUCUCUUUCUUCUUGAUUGCAAUUUGGUAGACAUCGAGUCAGAUGAUUGCCAGCAAGUAUUUGAAUGCAUUAUGAAACAUGAACAAUGUACAUUAGUUCUCUUUCUUUUUUAUUUUGGUUAUGGUGUCUUCUAGUUAAAUGUUAUGGAGAAGCAAAUUUUGAUUGUCUGUAUGGAUUGAGCUUCAACCUCCUCCCUAAGGGCACUCUUCACCGGCAUUAUAACCAAGAUGAGUGAAAUAUCCUUUUCCAUUUGUUUGUGGCAAGCAGUGUAUCACUUCAACUUUGAUCAUUUUGUGUAGUUUUUUCUUAUUCUAAUUUGGCUAUUGAUCUUCCUGGACAUAUCAAAUGCUAUGGCAAUAUGCUUCUCUGCAGGUUCCCUUUGCAAAUGCUGACUGCCUGAUAACUGCUGUUCAGCAUGACCCAGAUUUCCAAUCCGAGGAUGGAGAGAGGAGGCAGCUGAGAACUGCUUUCAGUUGUCUAUCCUCGAUUUCUAUGUGCCAGAGGCAGUUCACUAUUUCUUCUCUUUUCUUGACAUCUCGUUUUAGAGGGUGCCUUUCACACUGGGAGUUAAGAAGGUCUAAUGUCAUUCCUUUGUAGGAAACCUGAAAAUAUCAUCAUCUGUUGACCGAGAAAGGUGUUGAUCGAGAAAGGAGUUACAGUUCUGA